GCCCGAUGAACCUGAAUAUCCAUUAUGGAAAAUUCAUCAUUAGAGUUAUAAUAUUAAAAUAAUAUUAUACAAAUAGUGUGCAUUUUUUCCAUAUAAGGACAUUGUAAUCUAUUAACAUAUAAAAAUUUAUCAUAAAAUAUGGCUUAUAGUUUAUUCCAAUUAAAUUGCUUGCAUUUUAACACAGAAUAAAUGUCAUUAAUUUGAUAAAGUGUUGAUAGAUUAAUAAGAAUACAGUGCGUUAAUUUUUCGGAAUUAUAUAAUGGCAUAAUUAUCAUUGAUUUUUAUGUUUAUUAUAUGCACUUGUAUGAUUAACAAUGCGAAAGAUUCAGGAUACUUCGGG
Molecule: ribosomal RNA, 340 nt
Filed under: Drosophila malerkotliana
Lineage: Eukaryota; Metazoa; Arthropoda; Insecta; Diptera; Drosophilidae
Description: eukaryotic LSU rRNA
Source: RNAcentral